Molecule: long non-coding RNA, 701 nt
Filed under: Setaria italica (foxtail millet)
Lineage: Eukaryota; Viridiplantae; Streptophyta; Magnoliopsida; Poales; Poaceae
Description: long non-coding RNA (SITA_LNC002083)
Source: RNAcentral
UCUCUCUCUCUCGUUCCUUUUCAGAAGUGGCGGCCGGUGGCGGCCGGUGGCAAGCGGGGGAGUGCGUAGCGGCAGCCCGGCGAGCGGUGGCGCGGGGGGCGGCAGAUGCGGAGCGGAGCGCGGUGGCGAGCCCGGCGAGCGGCCACCCUCGGCGACGGCAGGCUAGGCAAGCGGGGGAGGUGGAUGCAGGCGCCAGGCGGGGUGCGGCGACGGGUCCGGCGAGCGGUGGCGCGGGAGCAGCAGAUGUGGAGCGUGAGCGCGGCGGCGGCCCGGCGAGUGGAUGCGCGAGCGCGUGGCAUGGGGAGGCGGCGCGGCGUCCUGCCGGCGAGCGCGCCCGGAGGUGCCGCUCUUUUUUUCUUUUUUUCAGAUUUUGUUGGAAAGAGUUUUCUGCACAAAAUUUUCAAAAUCUAUUCAUAACAUUUUUGGAAUAUUUUUUAAAAACUUCUGUCUCAAAUUUUUGUUGCAAAUUUUUCUGCCAAUUUUUUUAAAAAAAUUAAACAAAGUUUGCAAGCAAAAGUUUUCGUAUAACUUUGUCGUUUAUUGAAAAUUUAGUUCAUUUUUUUGCUGACAUUUUUUUUCAAAAAUUUGUGUCCUUAAAAUUGUUUUUGUUUUUGAAUUUUUUCCCAAUUCUUUUCUCCCAAAAGUUUUUUCGUUGAUUUUUUUUCUUGAUUUUCAGUCUUAAAAUCUGGGGUGGUGGGCGG